Molecule: long non-coding RNA, 988 nt
Filed under: Salmo trutta (river trout)
Lineage: Eukaryota; Metazoa; Chordata; Actinopteri; Salmoniformes; Salmonidae
Description: lncRNA (ENSSTUG00000021130.1)
Source: RNAcentral
GUGAAACUGUUGACAUUGGUGUGGAGAGGCCAGAUGAUUCCUCCAGGACAGCCAUGGAGAGUAGGGGGGUCAGUCAGGAAUCAGAGGCAGGGAAAAGACACCCUAACCCCCUCUCUGUGACACCCACAGGGGCCAAGGGGAAGAAGGCUCUGAGUGCUAAAUCGCAGGUCAACAAAAAAGCUAAAGUCAAGAUGACAUCCGUUCAUGGCUCUGUCACUGGCUCCAAUGAUUUUAUUGGGUAUAAAAAAACAAGCAAGAGGACAGGUGGUUCAAAGGACAGGUGGUUCAGCACAUAAACUGACCAAAACCCCUCAAACCCCUGCAGACAAUGGUAGAGAAGCUGUUGCAGCAGGGAUCUCAGAUUUACAAACUCAUAGCUCUCCAUCUGUGGACUCUCCAGCCAGGACACGGUGUGCAUGGAAGGCUAUGGGCAAACCUGCCUCCAAUCCAGCAGUACUGAAGCGUUUUAACGGGGACAGAGCAGUCGAGCAUGGCAGGCAUGUGGAUGGAAAACUCAAUGGCCCCCUCCCACAUGAAGCUACCUCCGAGCCUUAAAAUAAAUAGUAUUGUCUCUACCAAGUCACAUCCAGGGUCUAGGAAAAGGAAGAGGAAGAUGGAAAUUUACAACUUUGUCCCCAAGAAGAAAACCAAAGUGUUGAAGAAAGACAGCCUAGCUGCGAAGGCGGAAAAGCAAGAAAGUGUCAGAAAGAAGGGAGUAGAUCUGACGCACAGAGAGAUUUGUGAAAUGCAAGAAAGCCAUGCACUGUUAGCCGAGCAGUGUGUAGACAAGGAAAAAGAUUUAACCAAAGGAAACAAAAUGGAGAAAGAGGACAACAGCAGUAAGCAGGAAACCAUUGAAUUGACUUUGGAAUCGCUAAAUCUGAAAGCCCAAGAUGAGCUGUUGUCUCCUCCUCUCUCAGGUAACAGUUUCCCUAGAGAUGAGUUAAACAUUUCGUCAUAAGUUAUGAAAUAAUACUUGUACAAUACA